GGAGCUGUGCCUGAACGCUUUAGGGCUACUUUGAUAGAGUAAAUUAAGGGGGUUGGACUCCCCCCGGCUCCU
Molecule: transfer RNA, 72 nt
Filed under: Amblygaster sirm (spotted sardinella)
Lineage: Eukaryota; Metazoa; Chordata; Actinopteri; Clupeiformes; Clupeidae
Description: tRNA-Ile
Source: RNAcentral